RNAcentral lists this long non-coding RNA (758 nucleotides) under Lathyrus oleraceus (garden pea). Its description in RNAcentral is "Pisum sativum (pea) long non-coding RNA (PSAT_LNC021623)". The record is from RNAcentral. Lineage: Eukaryota; Viridiplantae; Streptophyta; Magnoliopsida; Fabales; Fabaceae.
UGAUUGAGGGAUGAUGACUGAGGUAAGAGCGAUCGUGAGAUUGAGGGAUGAUGGCUGAGGUAAGAGCGAUUGUGAGAUUGAGAGAGAUAGGUAUGAGUGAGUUUGAGAGCGUGAGAGUGGUCUGGUACAGAUUGAGAGCGAUGGAGAGUUUGAGAGAGGAAGAGUUCAGUUCAAUGACACUAGCUUUUUUCCAUUUUCUUUCUUUUUAUUAUUAGUUAACUUAGGAAUGUUAAAAACCAAAACCAUUUAACUCCAUUUAAGUGACCUUUGAGUAUUUCCAGUAGACAUUAACACAUCAUUUUGGUAUUCCCCAACCCAUUAAUCUCUAAAAUCCAACAGCCAAGCGACUGGGUUUAAUUACUGGUAGUCCAACAGACUUUUUUUAUUUUAGUUUUUAUUCUAAUGUUUAAUCUAUUUUGGUUUAUAUAUUUAAAGCAGCAUCAAAAUAAUAACUAACCAUGAGUGGUCUGGUGGAGAAGGGUAGUAUCAUAGUCUUGAGUGGGGUGGGUUCAAUACUCAUAUGUAGCAUUUUUUUAGUAUUUUAUUUUUCUUUUAGCAUUUUAUUUUCUUUUAGUAUUUUAUUUCUUUUAACAUUUUUUUGUUAUGUUUAUGCUUUAUUAUUUUCAUAGUUUCAUUAUCAUAACAUAGAUUUGUUGUCUUUUAAUUUCAUCAUUCAUUCAAAACCAUUUUUAAACUAUAAAAAUCAUAUUUUUCUCGAUUUAAUAUCGAGCCCAUUUUUCCACACCCUUGUAAGUCGA